RNAcentral lists this ribosomal RNA (133 nucleotides) under uncultured bacterium. Its description in RNAcentral is "partial 16S ribosomal RNA". It matches the Rfam family "Bacterial small subunit ribosomal RNA", at positions 356 to 507 of the family's 1533-position model. The record is from RNAcentral.
AGGGAAUAUUGCACAAUGGGCGAAAGCCUGAUGCAGCGACGCCGCGUGCGGGAUGAAGGCCUUCGGGUUGUAAACCGCUUUCAGGAGGGAAGAAAUGACGGUACCUCCAGAAGAAGCUCCGGCCAACUACGUG